GACGAACGCUGGCGGCGUGCUUAACACAUGCAAGUCGAACGGAAAGGCCCUGCUUUUGUGGGGUGCUCGAGUGGCGAACGGGUGAGUAACACGUGAGUAACCUGCCCUUGACUUUGGGAUAACUUCAGGAAACUGGGGCUAAUACCGGAUAGGAGCUCCUGCUGCAUGGGGGGGGUUGGAAAGUUUCGGCGGUUGGGGAUGGACUCGCGGCUUAUCAGCUUGUUGGUGGGGUAGUGGCUUACCAAGGCUUUGACGGGUAGCCGGCCUGGGAGGGUGACCGGCCACAUUGGGCCUGCGAUACGGCCCAGACUCCUACGGGAGGCAGCAGUGGGGAAUAUUGCACAAUGGGCGGAAGCCUGAUGCAGCAACGCCGCGUGCGGGAUGACGGCCUUCGGGUUGUAAACCGCUUUCGCCUGUGACGAAGCGUGAGUGACGGUAAUGGGUAAAGAAGCACCGGCUAACUACGUG
RNAcentral lists this ribosomal RNA (468 nucleotides) under uncultured bacterium. Its description in RNAcentral is "partial 16S ribosomal RNA". It matches the Rfam family "Bacterial small subunit ribosomal RNA", at positions 28 to 507 of the family's 1533-position model. The record is from RNAcentral.